Transfer RNA from Colletotrichum chlorophyti, 84 nucleotides. It matches the Rfam family "tRNA". From Rfam's summary of the family: Transfer RNA (tRNA) molecules are approximately 80 nucleotides in length. The record is from Rfam. NCBI's taxonomy places the organism in Eukaryota, Fungi, Ascomycota, Sordariomycetes, Glomerellales, Glomerellaceae.
GGAUCGAUAGCUCAGUGGUAGAGCGAGAGAUUGCAGUUCAUCGCAGUUAUCUCUAGGCCCCGCGUUCGAACCGCGGUCGGUCCU